This 77-nucleotide transfer RNA is filed under the name archaeon. RNAcentral describes it as "tRNA-Asp". It matches the Rfam family "tRNA", at positions 10 to 71 of the family's 71-position model. Rfam says of the family: Transfer RNA (tRNA) molecules are approximately 80 nucleotides in length. The record is from RNAcentral.
GCCUAGGAUAUAGACUGUAAAAAUGCAGGUAUAGCCCUGUCACGGCUGUGACGCGGGUUCGAAUCCCGCUCCGGGCG